GAGUUUGAUCCUGGCUCAGAAUCAACGCUGGCGGCGUGCCUCAGACAUGCAAGUCGAACGAUUAAAGCCCUCUUCGGAGGGUGCAUAAAGUGGCGCACGGGUGAGUAACACGUAAGUAAUCUACCUUCGAGUGGGGAAUAACGUUCGGAAACGAACGCUAAUACCGCAUAAUGCAGCGGCAUCUAUGAUGACAGUUGUUAAAGAUUUAUCGCUUGAAGAGGAGCUUGCGGCAGAUUAGCUAGUUGGUAAGGUAACGGCUUACCAAGGCGACGAUCUGUAUCCGGUCUAAGAGGACGGUCGGACACACUGACACUGAAUAACGGGUCAGACUCCUACGGGAGGCAGCAGUCGGGAAUUUUGGGCAAUGGGCGAAAGCCUGACCCAGCAACGCCGCGUGAAGGAUGAAGUUUUUCGGAAUGUAAACUUCGUAAGAAUAGGAAGAAUAAAUGACGGUACUAUUUGUAAGGUCCGGCUAACUACGUGCCAGCAGCCGCGGUAAUACGUAGGGACCAAGCGUUGUUCGGAUUUACUGGGCGUAAAGGGCGCGUAGGCGGCAAUUCAAGUCAGCUGUGAAAUCUCCGGGCUUAACUCGGAACGGUCAGCUGAUACUGCUUUGCUAGAGUGCAGAAGGGGCAAUCGGAAUUCUUGGUGUAGCGGUGAAAUGCGUAGAUAUCAAGAGGAACACCUGAGGUGAAGACGGGUUGCUGGGCUGACACUGACGCUGAGGCGCGAAAGCUAGGGUAGCAAACGGGAUUAGAUACCCCGGUAGUCCUAGCCCUAAACGAUGAAUACUUGGUGUCUGGAGUUUUUAUCCUCCGGGUGCCGUCGCUAACGUUUUAAGUAUUCCGCCUGGGGAGUACGCACGCAAGUGUGAAACUCAAAGGAAUUGACGGGGACCCGCACAAGCGGUGGAGCAUGUGGUUUAAUUCGACGCAACGCGAAGAACCUUACCUGGGCUAGAAUGUGAGGGAAGGUCGUCUAAUAGCGACCGUCCGGGCAACCGGACCCAAAACAAGGUGCUGCAUGGCUGUCGUCAGCUCGUGUCGUGAGAUGUUGGGUUAAGUCCCGCAACGAGCGCAACCC
RNAcentral lists this ribosomal RNA (1083 nucleotides) under uncultured bacterium. Its description in RNAcentral is "bacterial SSU rRNA". It matches the Rfam family "Bacterial small subunit ribosomal RNA", at positions 9 to 1104 of the family's 1533-position model. The record is from RNAcentral.